AUUGAACGCUGGCGGAAUGCUUUACACAUGCAAGUCGAACGGUAGAGGGGGCAACCCCUUGAGAGUGGCGAACGGGUGAGUAAUAUAUCGGAACGUGCCCAGUCGUGGGGGAUAACGUAGCGAAAGUUACGCUAAUACCGCAUACGAUCUAAGGAUGAAAGCGGGGGAUCGCAAGACCUCGCGCGAUUGGAGCGGCCGAUAUCAGAUUAGGUAGUUGGUGAGGUAAAGGCUCACCAAGCCAACGAUCUGUAGCUGGUCUGAGAGGACGACCAGCCACACUGGAACUGAGACACGGUCCAGACUCCUACGGGAGGCAGCAGUGGGGAAUUUUGGACAAUGGACGCAAGUCUGAUCCAGCCAUUCCGCGUGCAGGAUGAAGGGCCCUCGGGUUGUAAACUGCUUUUGUACGGAACGAAAAGGUUUGUCUUAAUACGAUGAGCUCAUGACGGUACCGUAAGAAUAAGCACCGGCUAACUACGUG
This 481-nucleotide ribosomal RNA is filed under the name uncultured bacterium. RNAcentral describes it as "bacterial SSU rRNA". It matches the Rfam family "Bacterial small subunit ribosomal RNA", at positions 30 to 507 of the family's 1533-position model. The record is from RNAcentral.